This 492-nucleotide ribosomal RNA is filed under the name uncultured bacterium. RNAcentral describes it as "partial 16S ribosomal RNA". It matches the Rfam family "Bacterial small subunit ribosomal RNA", at positions 29 to 507 of the family's 1533-position model. The record is from RNAcentral.
AGUGAACGCUGGCGGUAGGCCUAACACAUGCGAGUCGAACGGCAGCACAGUAAGAGCUUGCUCUUACGGGUGGCGAGUGGCGGACGGGUGAGGAAUACAUCGGAAUCUACUUUUUCGUGGGGGAUAACGUAGUGAAACUUACGCUAAUACCGCAUACGACCUACGGGUGAAAGCAGGGGAUCUUCGGACCUUGCGCGAUUGAAUGGGCCGAUGUCGGAUUAGCUAGUUGGCGGGGUAAAGGCCCACCAAGGCGACGAUCCGUAGCUGGUCUGAGAGGAUGAUCAGCCACACUGGAACUGAGACACGGUCCAGACUCCUACGGGAGGCAGCAGUGGGGAAUAUUGGACAAUGGGCGCAAGCCUGAUCCAGCCAUACCGCGUGGGUGAAGAAGGCCUUCGGGUUGUAAAGCCCUUUUGUUGGGAAAGAAAAGCAGCAGGUUAAUACCCCGCUGUUCUGACGGUACCCAAAGAAUAAGCACCGGCUAACUUCGUG